This 820-nucleotide long non-coding RNA is filed under the name Solanum tuberosum (potato). Its description in RNAcentral is "long non-coding RNA (STUB_LNC008721)". The record is from RNAcentral. Lineage: Eukaryota; Viridiplantae; Streptophyta; Magnoliopsida; Solanales; Solanaceae.
UAAUUUUUACUCUUUUUUCCUACUUUCAUUUUUGUUUUUCCUUUACCCAAAGUGAUCACAUUAUCCCUACUUAAGUCACCUUCAUUUUUCCUACAUGAACAUCACCAAUAUUCCAUCAUUAUAAGUUAAUCAAACCCUCUAGGGUACUUUUCUUGAUUUGUUGUAAUUUUCGUUCGAUGGAGGAAGAGGAAGACCUAUUGAGUAAACAGAAAAGACUGAGAGUGUCAGAAAAGAUGGUUUUGGUGAUGGUGUUUGAUGGGAACUAUUAUCAUUCAUGAAGAAUCUUGAUUAAUCAUGAAGAUAUUAAUCUUGAUUAGUCAUGAAGAUAUUAAUUAGUCCCAUGGUGUAAGGUAAUUAAGGGCAACUUCUAUAUCCUUUGGCAUUUGAGUCUCUUGAUAGGCUCUAUAUAGGAAUUAAAUUUAUAGUAAAAAAAGACUAGCAUUUUAUGCUAAUUAUCUUAUCCUUUACUUAUUAGUUCUUAUUUCAGUAAUUUUCUUGUGUUUGUAAGCUACUAAUAAUUAAUGAGUGUUUUGAUGUAUUAGGCCUAAUAUGGCCAGAAUAGUAAUGGUUUAGUGAUGUAUUAAUGCUUGAGUGUGUUUUUGUUAUAUGGGUUUAAGUUAUUUAUACAUUGCAAGAAUUUUUACACUAUAUGUCAAGUCAUUUUUACUGAUUAUAGUAUGUAACUUGUUUUAUUUUCAAGAUUAGAAAUCUUGUCUUUUUUAGAGUUUUACCUAUAUAUUUCCUUUAGAUAAACCUAGUAGAUACAAUAUUCUUUAUGUAUUUUGAUGGUGUAUAUAUCUUAAACUCUUGAGCUAGUUUG